UACGAAGGGGGCUAGCGUUGCUCGGAUUGACUGGGCGUAAAGGGCGCGUAGGCGGUUUGUACAGUCAGACGUGAAAUUCCUGGCCUCAACCUGGGGGCUGCGUUUGAUACGUGCAGACUUGAGUUCGGAAGAGGGUCGUGGAAUUCCCAGUGUAGAGGUGAAAUUCGUAGAUAUUGGGAAGAACACCGGUGGCGAAGGCGGCGACCUGGUCCGAUACUGACGCUGAGGCGCGAAAGCGUGGGGAGCAAACAGG
This 253-nucleotide ribosomal RNA is filed under the name uncultured bacterium. RNAcentral's name for it is "partial 16S ribosomal RNA". It matches the Rfam family "Bacterial small subunit ribosomal RNA", at positions 524 to 776 of the family's 1533-position model. The record is from RNAcentral.